UACGAAGGGGGCUAGCGUUGUUCGGAAUUACUGGGCGUAAAGCGCACGUAGGCGGAUUUGUUAGUCAGGGGUGAAAUCCCGGGGCUCAACCUCGGAACUGCCUUUGAUACUGCAAGUCUUGAGUCCGGAAGGGGUGAGUGGAAUUCCUAGUGUAGAGGUGAAAUUCGUAGAUAUUAGGAGGAACACCAGUGGCGAAGGCGACUCACUGGUCCGGUACUGACGCUGAGGUGCGAAAGCGUGGGGAGCAAACAGG
RNAcentral lists this ribosomal RNA (253 nucleotides) under uncultured bacterium. RNAcentral's name for it is "partial 16S ribosomal RNA". It matches the Rfam family "Bacterial small subunit ribosomal RNA", at positions 524 to 776 of the family's 1533-position model. The record is from RNAcentral.